This 497-nucleotide ribosomal RNA is filed under the name uncultured bacterium. RNAcentral describes it as "partial 16S ribosomal RNA". It matches the Rfam family "Bacterial small subunit ribosomal RNA", at positions 28 to 507 of the family's 1533-position model. The record is from RNAcentral.
GAUGAACGCUGGCGGCGUGCCUAAUACAUGCAAGUCGAGCGAACAGACGAGGAGCUUGCUCCUCUGACGUUAGCGGCGGACGGGUGAGUAACACGUGGAUAACCUACCUAUAAGACUGGGAUAACUUCGGGAAACCGGAGCUAAUACCGGAUAAUAUAUUGAACCGCAUGGUUCAAUAGUGAAAGACGGUUUUGCUGUCACUUAUAGAUGGAUCCGCGCCGCAUUAGCUAGUUGGUAAGGUAACGGCUUACCAAGGCGACGAUGCGUAGCCGACCUGAGAGGGGGAUCGGCCACACGGGAACUGAGGCACGGUCCAGACUCCUACGGGAGGCAGCAGUAGGGAAUCUUCCGCAAAGGGCGAAAGCCUGACGGAGCAACGCCGCGUGAGUGAUGAAGGUCUUCGGAUCGUAAAACUCUGUUAUUAGGGAAGAACAAAUGUGUAAGUAACUAUGCACGUCUUGACGGUACCUAAUCAGAAAGCCACGGCUAACUACGUG